GGCUACUAUUUUAAUUUUGAGAUUUCAAAUGUCCAAAGUACAAAACUCAUUUAUUAAGUUUAUAACUAAGCUCGUUCAUGAAAAAAAAUCUCAUGUAUAAAACGUAUAUGUUGUGAAGCUUAUCUUGUUUGGACCCAUGAACAAGACUACAAUAAAAAUCGUCCAUGGUACACAAAGUGUCAACUUUUCACAUGUGACUUGGAGAAAAAAAGAACAUAUUUCAAGUAGUAUAUAUAUACAGAUUUUUGUGGCUAUUACAAGAUAAAAAAGAAAAUAGAAAAAAUUUACCAAAACAAAAAGAGAGAACUAAUUUACUCGUAAUUAAAUUAGCUCCAGUCCUCUUUCCAAAAAAAAAAUAAAAAAAUAAAUAAAUAAAUUAGCUCCAGUCCUCAUUCUGGAAAUGAGAAAAUUAUUUUUCAAAUGGUUAUUGUUUUUAUUCGUUGUAGCGGCGGUUCUAUUUCAAGUAAAUGGUUUUGCUACAAUUGCUAAUGAUGACGAGCCAAAAGAGUGGUGGCUAAGCAGGAGCGAAAGUGGUGAUUGGAAAUUUACUACCAUCGAUGGCAAAAACACGGCUACUGCUAGGGUUAGAAGACUGGCACGCAGGAUAUACCCACAGCCAUCACCUCAGCGGAAUGAAGAGGAUCAUCAAAUAAUAAAAUUCAAAUUCCGAAAUUGAAAUUCUACAUUUUAAAUUCAAAUCAUUUGUUUGGAAAAUAUGAUGAUUUCAAAUUUAGGAUUUCAAAUUCAAAUACUUGUUUGGGAAACAAGAUAAUUACAAAUUCUAGUUGUUGUUUGGGAAACAAUGGAAUUUUAAAUUCUAAAUUUCAAUACCUAAGUUCCAAGACUUCCAACUAAACUCUAAUUAUCGCUAAACUUACAACACUACUACUCAUCUAUACGCAAAAUUAUAGAUCCAAUCUGAUUUUUGAUUAUCCGGUAAAUUUUUCAGCAUGUCAAAUUCAUCGAGGGUGCCAUUUACAAAUCUCUUAACCGCCCUCAAAACUUGGUGUCCAGAUAUUCCAAGUACACUAGACACCUCCUUGUAGAUUCUUGACUAGUUGGCCUUGUUGAUUUACUCACGACUCCUUGAAAGAUUCGGCAAAAAAAAUAAAAUAAAGGAUAUGUUGAAAGGGUCAAAAGUCAAGACGACAUAAACAGUCCUACUUGUACUUCAUGAUGACCAGGUCAAUUAACACGACUAGUCUGACCUUUGGGUGUAAAUAAAAAUAAUAUUAAGUCAAAUAUUUGCAUUCAACUUAGAAAAAAACAGAAAAUGCUGGCUAGUACAAGAUUACAGAAAUAAACAUACUAAAAUCAAAGAGAUAUAAACUAAUCAAGCGAGCUCUUUAUUUAUAAAUACAUACAAAGUAUACGUUAUAUUUAUUUAAUCUAGAUAUGAUCACAUUAUUUCUCAAAUGGUUGUUUUUAUUGUCCAUCCUAGCAGGAGUCUUCUUUCAAGUUAAUGGUUUUGCAACAUCGGGUGCCUCUUCAUUUGCUAAUGAUGUUGGACCAAAAAGAUGGCAGCUAAGCAAGAGCGAAGGUGGUGAAUGGAAAUUUGUUAGGGUCGGAAAUUAUCAAGGCAAAAACAAAGCCACUGCUAGUUUUAGAAGGUUGGCACGCGACAUAGGUGGAGGCUCACAACCAUCACCUCAGCGGGCACUAGAGCAUAUUCCUCAUUAGGGGUGUAAAUUAAAUGAGCCUAGUGUCUCGAUAAACUAAUCGGGAUCAAACUAGAUUGAAGCUCGUUCAUGUUUGUUUAUUUAAUAAAUUGAUUGAGUUUGAACAAAUUUUAAAGCUCGAUUAAUAAAUGAGAUUGAAUACGAACAUAGAUAUAUUUGUGUUCAAUCUAGCUCAUAGAUAUAUUUGUGUUCAAUCUAGCUCAGCUCGUUUUUUCAUGGCUUCAUUAGUUUACACAAAUCCUUGCGCGAACAAGGUCUAGCUUGGUAUCGAACAAAUCCACAAUGAAUUCUUCAACUAACGGGUUUAAGCCGCAUUCCUAUCAUCAGUGGAUAGGUUUGCCAUUUCAGAUGAUAAAUAGGGGUAGAAUUGUCAUUUCAUUUUAUAAAUGGAGGUAGUAGUACAUGCAUUUGUAAUUUAAUUGUAAAAGUUGUUAUUCUUCAUUAUAUACAAAUACAAUAUGUAGUAGUACAUGGAUUUGAAACUAUUUUGUAUAAAAAAAAACUCCAAAAUCAAA
Long non-coding RNA from Chenopodium quinoa (quinoa), 2194 nucleotides. RefSeq lists it as uncharacterized. The record is from RefSeq and is a predicted model, not a curated record. NCBI's taxonomy places the organism in Eukaryota, Viridiplantae, Streptophyta, Magnoliopsida, Caryophyllales, Amaranthaceae. The transcript is spliced from 3 exons.